UACGGGGGGAGCAAGCGUUGUUCGGAUUUACUGGGCGUAAAGGGCGCGUAGGCGGCCACCGCAAGUCGACUGUGAAAUCUCCGGGCUUAACCCGGAAAGGUCAGCCGAUACUGCGGGGCUAGAGUGCAGAAGGGGCAACUGGAAUUCUCGGUGUAGCGGUGAAAUGCGUAGAUAUCGAGAGGAACACCUGCGGCGAAGGCGGGUUGCUGGGCUGACACUGACGCUGAGGCGCGAAAGCGUGGGUAGCAAACGGG
RNAcentral lists this ribosomal RNA (254 nucleotides) under uncultured bacterium. RNAcentral's name for it is "partial 16S ribosomal RNA". It matches the Rfam family "Bacterial small subunit ribosomal RNA", at positions 524 to 776 of the family's 1533-position model. The record is from RNAcentral.